GCGAGUCUUUGUAGUAAUACAAGGCAGACGGCUCAGUAACACGUAGUCAACCUACCCUAUGGACGAGAAUAAUCUCGGGAAACUGAGCAUAAUUCUUGAUAGAUCAUAAUGCCUGGAAUGGUUUAUGGUUAAAAUGAUUCGUCGCCAUAGGAUGGGACUGCGGCCUAUCAGCUUGUUGGUGAGGUAAUGGCCCACCAAGGCGAUUACAGGUACGGGCUCUGAGAGGAGAGGCCCGGAGAUGGGUACUGAGACACGGACCCAGGCCCUAUGGGGCGCAGCAGGCGAGAAAACUUUGCAAUGUGCGAAAGCACGACAAGGUUAAUCCGAGUGAUUUCUGCUAAAGAAAUCUUUUGUCAGUCGUAAAACCACUGGCGAAUAAGGGGUGGGCAAGUUCUGGUGUCAGCCGCCGCGGUAAAACCAGCACCUCAAGUGGUCAGGAUGAUUAUUGGGCCUAAAGCAUCCGUAGCCGGCUUUGUUAGUUUUCGGUUAAAUCCAUGUGCUCAACGCAUGGGCUGCCGAAAAUACUGCAUAGCUAGGGAGUGGGAGAGGUAGACGGUACUCAGUAGGAAGGGGUAAAAUCCUUUGAUCUAUUGAUGACCACCUGUGGCGAAGGCGGUCUACCAGAACACGUUCGACGGUGAGGGAUGAAAGCUGGGGGAGCAAACCGGAUUA
RNAcentral lists this ribosomal RNA (672 nucleotides) under uncultured archaeon. RNAcentral describes it as "bacterial SSU rRNA". It matches the Rfam family "Archaeal small subunit ribosomal RNA", at positions 53 to 731 of the family's 1478-position model. The record is from RNAcentral.